AUGCCCCGUGGGCUUCUCAUCCCUCGCUCCCUCGCUCCCCUGCCGCCACCCGCGAGGCGUCGGGGAGGGUUCCCGAUCCCGGCCGUCGCACCCCCCUCCUCCUCCCUCCUCCGCCCUCGCCGCCGCCAAGGGGCGCGGCCUGGCGAAGCCCGGUCAUCGCCGGCGGCUGCGGGGCUCCUUCGUCCCUCGCCCCGUAGGGUUUGGCGCGGGCCAGAUCUAGCGGCUGGGCGCGGCGCUCGAUACCGGGCGCGGCGGCGCCCCGGAGCAGGCCGGCGAUGGUGGCGUUCGACGGGCGGCGGGCUGCAUGGUGGUGGCGUCGGCGGCGGUGCCCCCGGCAGCGCUUCGGUGUCGCGUGUCGCGGUUGACCGGGCCGCGGGCGGCCCUCUCGCCGUGGUGCUUUGGUGGGGGGCGCGGCAGCGGUGGUGGUGGGCUGCCCCCACCCAGUCGGGCCCUCGCGGCUGGGUGGCGGCGCUCGACUCGGGUGGAUCCCCCGGUGGCGUCUUCAGGUGGCGUUGGAGGCGGCCCCGCAACCCUCCCUCUUCGGCUUCGGGCGACGGCCGAUGCCUCCUGAUACUCUGGCCCUUUGAAACGGGGGCGGAACUCGGUUCCGGGAGGAAGUUGGAGCCGACAUGGGUGUCGGUCGUAGCCAUGGGCCACUUCUCUGCCUUCCCCUUCCACCGAUCAAUGUGGUCGCGGCUCUCCUCGAGGCAGCUUGGCCGGCGGUGGAUCUGGAGGUGGUUGGGGUCGUGGAGGGCAGAGGAAGACAAGGGACCCGUCCAGCCCGAUGCCGCCGGCCGCUCAGUGCCAAACUCGCGAGGCAACUCGAGUCAAUUCACUCGUGCCGCGUUGACUUGGCCCGGGAUGGAGACGUCCCUGCAGGAGAUGAGAGCAGAGGGGAGGAUCUCAUCUCAGACGGUGGAACUACCUCACCUCACAAGUCUGCAUCGCUGUCGCCGUCGCCCCGCACGCGCACCCCGCACGCGGAUGGAUCACUACCUCUAG
Molecule: ribosomal RNA, 1002 nt
Filed under: Triticum aestivum (bread wheat)
Lineage: Eukaryota; Viridiplantae; Streptophyta; Magnoliopsida; Poales; Poaceae
Description: partial small subunit ribosomal RNA
Source: RNAcentral